GCACCUACCGAUUGAAUGGUCCGGUGAAAUCUUCGGAUUCCGUAUGUUUUUGUUUGUUCGAGAGUGUAUGGGAGAAGUUGAGUAAACCUUAUCAUUUAGAGGAAGGUGAAGUCGUAACAAGGUUUCCGUAGGUGAACCUGCAGAAGGACA
This 150-nucleotide unclassified non-coding RNA is filed under the name sea anemone metagenome. Its description in RNAcentral is "partial contains small subunit ribosomal RNA and internal transcribed spacer 1". It matches the Rfam family "Eukaryotic small subunit ribosomal RNA", at positions 1678 to 1825 of the family's 1831-position model. The record is from RNAcentral.